GGGGUUGUAGCUCAGUGGAAGAGCACUUGCCUAAUAUGUGUGAGGCACUGGGUUCGAGUCUCAGCACCA
This is a non-coding RNA of Ictidomys tridecemlineatus (thirteen-lined ground squirrel), 69 nucleotides long. NCBI's taxonomy places the organism in Eukaryota, Metazoa, Chordata, Mammalia, Rodentia, Sciuridae. The record is from Rfam.